Molecule: ribosomal RNA, 945 nt
Filed under: uncultured bacterium
Lineage: Bacteria
Description: bacterial SSU rRNA
Rfam family: Bacterial small subunit ribosomal RNA
Source: RNAcentral
AUACGGAGGAUCCGAGCGUUAUCCGGAUUUAUUGGGUUUAAAGGGAGCGUAGGUGGAUUGUUAAGUCAGUUGUGAAAGUUUGCGGCUCAACCGUAAAAUUGCAGUUGAAACUGGCAGUCUUGAGUACAGUAGAGGUGGGCGGAAUUCGUGGUGUAGCGGUGAAAUGCUUAGAUAUCACGAAGAACUCCGAUUGCGAAGGCAGCUCACUAGACUGUUACUGACACUGAUGCUCGAAAGUGUGGGUAUCAAACAGGAUUAGAUACCCUGGUAGUCCACACAGUAAACGAUGAAUACUCGCUGUUUGCGAUAUACAGUAAGCGGCCAAGCGAAAGCAUUAAGUAUUCCACCUGGGGAGUACGCCGGCAACGGUGAAACUCAAAGGAAUUGACGGGGGCCCGCACAAGCGGAGGAACAUGUGGUUUAAUUCGAUGAUACGCGAGGAACCUUACCCGGGCUUAAAUUGCAACAGAAUAUAUUGGAAACAGUAUAGCUGUAAGGCUGUUGUGAAGGUGCUGCAUGGUUGUCGUCAGCUCGUGCCGUGAGGUGUCGGCUUAAGUGCCAUAACGAGCGCAACCCUUAUCUUUAGUUACUAACAGGUCAUGCUGAGGACUCUAGAGAGACUGCCGUCGUAAGAUGUGAGGAAGGUGGGGAUGACGUCAAAUCAGCACGGCCCUUACGUCCGGGGCUACACACGUGUUACAAUGGGGGGUACAGAAGGCGGCUACCUGGUGACAGGAUGCUAAUCCCAAAAACCUCUCUCAGUUCGGAUCGAAGUCUGCAACCCGACUUCGUGAAGCUGGAUUCGCUAGUAAUCGCGCAUCAGCCAUGGCGCGGUGAAUACGUUCCCGGGCCUUGUACACACCGCCCGUCAAGCCAUGAAAGCCGGGGGUACCUGAAGUACGUAACCGCAAGGAGCGUCCUAGGGUAAAACUGGUAAUUGGGGCU